AUAGAAUAUAAAAAGAACUAAUUAAGGAUGACUAACUAUAUAAUUAAUGGUGGUAAACAUUUUACCAAAAGGAAAACAUAAGGAAAUCCCUUAGGAUCUCAAAAAUGAAAUCUGUUACCAUAGAUAAAAAUCUUAAUAAAAUAGUUAAUGAAUUGACAUAUCUUAGUAAUUAAUUAAAGAUCAUAAUCUGAAUAACUUUCUUAGUAGUGAAGAGCGAAAAGAAAUAAGCCUUCUAGAUGAGAUUUAAAUCUCAUUCGAAAAUAAAUAAAGUAAGCAUUUGUCAAGUAAAAAUAUUAUUAUAAAAUAUGAUGUUAACUUGAAGGUAAUAACCAAGGCUAAGUAAAAUUAUAUAGUGAUAGUGAAUAGUACCGAGAGGAAAGUUGAAUAAAGAACCCAUAAAAAGGGAGUGAAAUAGAACCUGAAAUAAUUAGUUUAAAAAAUGAAAGAAUCGACUAAGAUCAAAGAUCUUAGUCAAAUAAUUGAUUUAAUCAUUUACCUUUUGCAUAAGGGGUUAGCAAGUUAUUUUAUAUAGUGAGCUUAAUAGGCAAUUUAAUAAUUAAAAAUAAUUAUAUAAAAUAGACCCGAAUACUAGUGAUCUAGUCAUCAUCAGAUUUAUAGAUCCAACUUGUUUGCGUAGUAAUGCAAUAAGAUGAAUGAUGAUUAGAGGUGAAAUACUUAUCGAACUAGUCAAUAGCUGGUUGGUCUUGAAAUAAAUAAUAGUUUAGCUUUUUAAAGAUAAAAUUUGAUUUUUAUCUAACACUUUAUAGAGUACAGCAAUGGUAAUUAAUCCAACCUCGAAAAAUUAUAAUAAAUGUACGUGUAAUAAAAAAGUUAGUAAAUUGGCGAUAAGGUCAAUUUGCAAGAGAGCAAAAACUCUAUCUAUAAAUUAAAAAUCCUAAAUGUUUAUUAAGUGAAUAUAAGAUUAUAUAUCGUAUUUAUACAUUCAGAAUGUAUGCUUGGAAUCGGCAUUCGUCUAAUUAAAUCGUAACAGAAAACUGAAUAUCAGAGACUAUUCUCACAAAUUAUCGGAUCUAAUUAGUAAAUUUUUUUUAAGAUUUGCACAAAAUUAAAGAUGAACUUUUUUAAUUAUAGAUUAAUUCUCAAAUGAGUCGCUUAUGCGAAUUAAUCAAAUUGAUUUCAAUUUGUUAAUAAUUAAUGGUAAAGACCUAUCACGAGAUAAUUCGUGAAAAAUAAUGCUAACAUGAGUAACGUAUAAAAAGGUAAAUCAAGUUGGUAAAUCUCUUGAUUAUUCAAGCCUUUUGGCCAUAAAAUCUAGGUUUUCAGCGUAAGUGAAUACACGCUAAAGUUAAUUGGUUUCUAACCUACAAUCAAAUAGGGAUGACAUUUACGGUACAUUUUCCAUUCAUUGGAAUUUGAUAAUCAGGAAAUGAAGAUAUUACCAUACUUAAACUAACACUAGUGAUUUUAAUUAAAUGAAGAAUAUUAGAGCUCUUAGAGUUACUAUUUAAUUCUCUGGCUUGCGAAGAAUUCUUUUUAAGGAACUCGGCAAAAUUAACGCUGCAACUGUCGACCACAAACACAACUGUGCGCAAAAUAAAUAAUGAAGUAUGCGCAGUGAUUCUUGCCCAAGUUUACGUAGUUAAAAUUAAUUCAUAUGAUUUCUUAAAUUUCAAUUCAAUUUAUUUUGGAUUGAUUUUUAAAAUAUAAUCCGUAAAGACUGGCGGUUGUAACUCUAACGAUCCUAAGGUAGCGAAAUUCCUUGGCCUUUAAUUGAGGUCCUUGCAUGAAUAGAAAAAUGACAGCGUCACUGUCUUAAGAAGAAAUCGCGUGAAAUUACAUUGUAAGUGCAGAUGCUUACAUUUCUCCGUUAGACGAGAAGACCCUUGAAAUUUUAAGGUAAUCAAUCAUUUAAAGAUUUAUAUAUCUUGAUUUUGUGAUUGUAAGACCUUUUCUUUGGGGCGAAGGCCUCUUAAAAAGUACCAGAGGCUUAUAUAAGGCUAAAUCAGAAUAAAUUCUAAAUCAUAACGGAUUAAUUUAGCUUGACUGCAUCAGCUCUAUCGAGCUUUCAGGGAUCAAAUUAUGUCAUUUAUGGCUAAAUUUGGUCGAUCGUAGUGAACUCCAUAAUAUCACAUAUAUGAUUAUGGAAUCAAAAGAAAUAAUUACUCAAGGGAUAACAGGGUAAUAUUAUUUCGGCGCUCUUAUUCGAAAUAAUGUUUGCCACCUCGAUGUCGACUCGUCCUAUCCUAGAGCUGUAAGUGGUUCUAAGGGUGCAGCUGUUCUCUGCAUAAAAGGGCACGUGAGUUGGGUUCAUAGCGCCGUAAGGCAGCUAGUACUCUAUCUUCGGAGAAAUUAGUUGAAUUAGAACGUAUGCCCAUAGUACGAGAGGAUUUGGGUGUGUAAAUCAAUGGUUAAUAAUUAGACGUAUAUUAUUUACACUAAUUAUAAGCUACAUUUAUAAUAGAUAAUUCCUGAAAUCAUCUAAAGGAAGAAACUAGGUUCAAAUAAAUAAUCAACUAAAUAAUUUAAAUAGUAGAACACUAUUAAGAAAAAUUAAUUUUAGCUUAAUACAAAAUUUUCUAAAGAGAUCAAAAAAUCUCAAAAUUAAUUAUUCUAUUC
This 2577-nucleotide ribosomal RNA is filed under the name Rhizophydium sp. 136. Its description in RNAcentral is "large subunit ribosomal RNA". It matches the Rfam family "Bacterial large subunit ribosomal RNA". The record is from RNAcentral. Lineage: Eukaryota; Fungi; Chytridiomycota; Chytridiomycetes; Rhizophydiales; Rhizophydiaceae.